AGAAACCUAAUCCUUAACUGAGAAGAAAUGCUAAGUUAAAAGUUCAUCACAAGGAACAGAGCAGAUAAUGUUCGUAGAGCAGACUCAGCAGUGGACUCAACGAUCACUAUGAUAACCUCAACGACCGUAGUUCUACCUCGACGAUUGUAGUCCUCCCAAAGACUACACCAGCUCAGGAAGAACUAAGGGCAAAUUAGUAUUUUUCCACACAAGUUAAAUCGUGGAGCCAAGUAGAACUC
This 239-nucleotide long non-coding RNA is filed under the name Panax ginseng (ginseng). Its description in RNAcentral is "long non-coding RNA (PGIN_LNC016254)". Lineage: Eukaryota; Viridiplantae; Streptophyta; Magnoliopsida; Apiales; Araliaceae. The record is from RNAcentral.